Molecule: non-coding RNA, 28 nt
Filed under: Rattus norvegicus (Norway rat)
Lineage: Eukaryota; Metazoa; Chordata; Mammalia; Rodentia; Muridae
Source: RNAcentral
UCCAAAAGUCAGUUGUACCAACACUUGA